Non-coding RNA from Cinara cedri, 394 nucleotides. The record is from the annotation of a GenBank genome assembly. Lineage: Eukaryota; Metazoa; Arthropoda; Insecta; Hemiptera; Aphididae.
GGGUAGUGAAAAAUGAGUUAUAUCUGAUGAAAUUUAGCCACGAAUCGGCAGAAGUUCUGGCAGCAGUUCGACAUGUAUAUGAUUUCUUCAGGACACAUUGAAAAAUCGGAUGACACGAAAAUCGUCUUUUUAUUCAACAUUGCUGGUAUUAAAUUUAUUGAAAUAUUUAAUAUGUUCACGUUCGACCUAUAGCAACAUGGAAGAACUUUUUGUGGAAUUGGUAACAAAAAAACAAUUGUAACAAUGAAAAAGAAAGCAUUGGCUACAUAACUGCUGGUAAGCUAAUAUUUUGUUAUAAUAUAGAAGAGUUGAUAAUCGAGUUGUGCUGUAUAAAAUCGGCACGUGUACUUUCCUCCAGCAUUUUCAUUUAUGUAUCUACUUUUAUUAACUUUUC